UACGGAGGUGGCAAGCGUUGCUCGGAAUCACUGGGCGUAAAGGGCGCGUAGGCGGGGAGGUAAGUCGGGUGUGAAAUCCCUCGGCCCAACCGAGGAACUGCGCCCGAGACUGCUUCUCUUGAGUCCCGGAGAGGAAGAUGGAAUUCCCGGUGUAGCGGUGAAAUGUGUAGAGAUCGGGAGGAACACCGGUGGCGAAGGCGGCCCCCUGGGACGGUACUGACGCUGAGACGCGAAAGCGUGGGGAGCGAACAGG
RNAcentral lists this ribosomal RNA (253 nucleotides) under uncultured bacterium. RNAcentral's name for it is "partial 16S ribosomal RNA". It matches the Rfam family "Bacterial small subunit ribosomal RNA", at positions 524 to 776 of the family's 1533-position model. The record is from RNAcentral.